This 916-nucleotide ribosomal RNA is filed under the name uncultured bacterium. RNAcentral describes it as "bacterial SSU rRNA". It matches the Rfam family "Bacterial small subunit ribosomal RNA", at positions 8 to 916 of the family's 1533-position model. The record is from RNAcentral.
AGAGUUUGAUCCUGGCUCAGGACGAACGCUGGCGGAGUGCUUAAUACAUGCAAGUCGGACGAGAAAGCGGUCUUCGGACUGUGAGUAAAGUGGCGAACGGGUGAGUACAACGUAGGAAUCUACCUUAUGGACGGGGAUAACGCCGGGAAACUGACGCUAAGACCCGAUAUGCAGAGAUGUGAAAUGUGGCUACACAAGUAGCUGCAGCUAUGAGAGGAGCCUGUGCCCCAUUAGCUAGUUGGCGGGAUAAAAGCCCACCAAGGCGACGAUGGGUAGGGGUCCUGAGAGGGAGACCCCCCACACUGGGACUGAGAUACGGCCCAGACUCCUACGGGAGGCAGCAGUAGGGAAUAUUGCACAAUGGAGGAAACUCUGAUGCAGCAACUCCGCGUGAGUGAAGAAGGCCUUUGGGUUGUAAAGCUCUGUUGAGAAGGAAGAAAGGCUUUAUUGUGAACAGCAGUAGAGCAGGGACGGUACUUUUCGAGGAAGCUCCGGCUAAUUACGUGCCAGCAGCUGCGGUAAUACGUAAGGAGCGAGCGUUGUCCGGAAUCAUUGGGCGUAAAGGGUGCGCAGGCGGUAUGGAAGGUCAGUUGUGAAAGCCACAGGCUCAACUUGUGGAGUGCAAUUGAAACCAUCAUGUUAGAGAGCAGGAGAGGUAAGCGGAAUUCCAUGUGUAGCGGUGAAAUGCUUAGAUAUGCGGAGGAACACCGAUGGCGAAGGCAAUCCCCUGGGCCUGCACUGACGCUCAUGCACGAAAGCGUGGGGAGCAAACAGGAUUAGAUACCCUGGUAGUCCACGCAGUAAACGGUGAACACUAGGUGUAGCGGGUAUUGACCCCUGCUGUGCCGAAGCUAACGCAUUAAGUGUUCCGCCUGGGAAGUACGGCCGCAAGGUUAAAACUCAAAGGAAUUGACGG